CCACGGGUGAGUAACACGUAUGCAAUCCACCUGUAACAGGGGGAGUAACCCGGAGAAAUCCGGACUAAUACCCCAUAAUAUGGGCGCUCCGCAUGGAGAGCCCAUUAAAGAGAGCAAUUUUGGUUACAGACGAGCAUGCGCUCCAUUAGCCAGUUGGCGAGGUAACGGCCCACCAAAGCGACGAUGGAUAGGGGUUCUGAGAGGAAGGUCCCCCACAUUGGAACUGAGACACGGUCCAA
RNAcentral lists this ribosomal RNA (239 nucleotides) under uncultured bacterium. RNAcentral describes it as "partial 16S ribosomal RNA". It matches the Rfam family "Bacterial small subunit ribosomal RNA", at positions 102 to 334 of the family's 1533-position model. The record is from RNAcentral.